RNAcentral lists this ribosomal RNA (468 nucleotides) under uncultured bacterium. RNAcentral's name for it is "partial 16S ribosomal RNA". It matches the Rfam family "Bacterial small subunit ribosomal RNA", at positions 28 to 507 of the family's 1533-position model. The record is from RNAcentral.
GACGAACGCUGGCGGCGUGCUUAACACAUGCAAGUCGAACGGAAAGGCCCUGCUUUUGUGGGGUGCUCGAGUGGCGAACGGGUGAGUAACACGUGAGUAACCUGCCCUUGACUUUGGGAUAACUUCAGGAAACUGGGGCUAAUACCGGAUAGGAGCUCCUGCUGCAUGGUGGGGGUUGGAAAGUUUCGGCGGUUGGGGCUGGACUCGCGGCUUAUCAGCUUGUUGGUGGGGUAGUGGCUUACCAAGGCUUUGACGGGUAGCCGGCCUGAGAGGGUGACCGGCCACAUUGGGACUGAGAUACGGCCCAGACUCCUACGGGAGGCAGCAGUGGGGAAUAUUGCACAAUGGGCGGAAGCCUGAUGCAGCCACGCCGCGUGCGGGAUGACGGCCUUCGGGUUGUAAACCGCGUUCGCCGGUGACGAAGCGUGAGUGACGGUAAUGGGUAAAGAAGCACCGGCUAACUACGUG